AUUUAAAUAGUUUACUAAGAAUAGAGCAUUGAAGAUGCUUUGGUGGCUAAUUGCCUUUAAAUA
Molecule: transfer RNA, 63 nt
Filed under: Pipunculus sp. XL-2018
Lineage: Eukaryota; Metazoa; Arthropoda; Insecta; Diptera; Pipunculidae
Description: tRNA-Phe
Source: RNAcentral